CUUGAAGAACUCACUACCGAAAUUACCCUAUAAAGAAGAAUUCUUCUUCAUCUGUAGUUUUGGUUUUCUCUCAGAUUUCUGAACCCGUUCUUUCUCUUUUCUCUCUAUCUCUCUCUCUAAUUCAGCUCCUGUCCGGGGCUUUUGCAGAGGUUCUAGGGGUGAAAUUCCAUUAGAAAGGAGAGAACAGAGGAAAGAAGAAGAGAGAAAAGAGGAAAAAUGGCAGUAUCAUCUAGGGUUUCAUUCGGAGUCAUGGCGAUUGUUGCUUUGAUUUUCAGCAUUGCUCUACCUGCUGUUGUUCAAGCUCAAGCACCUGCUCCUGCUCCAACCAGUGAUGGAACAACAAUUGACCAAGGAAUUGCAUACGUGCUAAUGCUAGUUGCGCUUGUGCUAACCUACAUUAUUCAUGAGACAAAUUAAGAAGUUAAAUUAUGAAUUAGGUGUUUGUUAGUGAAUGAAGAACAACGACGAUGAUAACUGUCUUAUGUAUAAAAAAUAAACUUACAAGGUUAUGAGGAAGAGUGAGGGUGGGAGUGUUUGAGCUUUGAGAAAUGGUGCGGUGGUGAUUUUGUGUGAGCGGCCGGCAACGGCAGGGGGAAUGAAAUGAGGAUUAAGAGAUGGCGAGUGUUCUUAUAAAUUUUAAUUCUAUGUUAUUAUUAUUAGUUGGAAAGGGAGAGAUGGGGGACCUCUCCUUUUUCUCUUUCUAACUUGUAAUUUUCUUUUUUCUUCUUCAUCUUCUUCUUCUUUUCCCCCUCCAUUGUUUAUCUUCUUUGGAUUCAUUUUGUUUGUUACAGUUGACAUGAUUCUUUCCACC
Papaver somniferum (opium poppy) is the source of this 811-nucleotide long non-coding RNA. RefSeq lists it as uncharacterized. The transcript has 2 exons. NCBI's taxonomy places the organism in Eukaryota, Viridiplantae, Streptophyta, Magnoliopsida, Ranunculales, Papaveraceae. The record is from RefSeq and is a predicted model, not a curated record.